GGGUGAUGCCUGCCUGGUGCCAGCCUUGAAGAAACCCCGUGGCUCCUGACAGAAGGGCAGAACCUGAUACCUGGGUUUGACUAAGAGCAAAAAAGAGCAGCUCCCACAGCGCCCAGUGCCUGGCAUGUGCUCCACAGACACACGAAGAAAUGAAGGCGGGUACAGGAGAGGAAGGGGACAAGAGGACAGAGGAAGGUCAGAAUGGCCUGCUUCACCAAUUGCCCCCUGCCCUGCCAUCCACCGCCAACUCCAGGCCCCACGAUGGCCCACCAGGGCACCAGACCAUGUGCAAGGUGGGCAGCAGGCUGGGUUUCAGGCAGAGCGGAGGCCCGCUGGGCUCCUCGAGGUCUGGCCUCGCCUCAGGCCUCCGCCCAGGAUGUCUGAGAGAUGCCCAGCGUGGGUGGGUGCUCCCUCCCCCCUGCCUCCGCUCCUCCUCCUCCCCGGAACUGCCGCCUCCUCCGCCUGAGUGGCUGAUGCCCUCUGGGUUCUGUUUUCAUUCCAGGCUGUGGAUCCGGUCGUGGGAAGCAGCUUUCUGUGCCUCAGCCCUCCACAGAGAAGACUGCUAGGCCUGAGCUGACUCCCCUGGAAACCCCAGACUCCAGUGACGUGCUUCUGGAACCUGCUCAGACAAAGUUAGGUAAGAGCCUGGGCAGUGGGUGGGUUGCAACACCCAGCCUGGCUGACCAGAAAGCUGAAGAGGACUGGAAGUUCAAGAAGAAGUAGAGAGGAGGUGGAGAGAGAGAAAGGGCAGAAGGAGGAGACAUCGAAGACCUCCCGAACAUCUUCUGUGGGAUCUCAGAGAAGGCAAAGCUCACCCUCCUGACUCCAGGACUCAUUUGUGUCCAGCCACUGAAUUAUCUACUUGUUACCCCUCCUGUGGAUCUCUCCCGAGGGAAAGAUCUACCUUGGAAGGCUGGUAAUAAAAGGUAAUAAAAGAUCUCUAAGGCAGAAAUUGCUAGUCAGGGGGUAAAGAACUGAAAUCUGACCAACCAGAAGAAAGGAAAGACUGCAAUUCCUUACUCCCAGGCCUGUCUGUCUUUCUCUAUGAGUCUGUAUUUAUUUCUCAUAUGCUUGACUCUCUCUGCUUCCCACCUCCUAGUUUUCUCAAAGGGGCCAAGCUUCUGGGCACCCGCACACUCUGUGAGCUAGAGAUGCCGACCUGAGGACUAGCAUUUCCUGUAUGCUGAUGAAUGUCCACCCCAAAGAGCUCCAGCGCAAGGGUCGCCCUGUCUACUGGGUUAUCCCCAAUCCCUCCCUGUCUGCCCAGCUUCCAUGCCUCAUCAGCAGGGAUUCAAAAACACGUAUUUGUCAGACAAGUCCUGGGAUCACAACCUUAGGAAAGGAUGUGCAGAGCCAGCCACUGACAAAAUUGUGAAAUCAAAUGAAUUCCCACAAAUCUGCUUCUCUUGCAUUCCUUAAGCUCAGUAAAUUGCACCACCUUCCACCAGUUUUCCAGAAACCAAAAAUCAUCUUUAACAUCCAUUCAAUCUGCCACCUCCUAUUUAUCUCCCAAAUAUAUUCCUACAAUCUUGCCACCCCCACUAUCACUGCCCUUGUGGGGCCUUGCCAUGUCUCACUCAGAUUACUGAAAUUCUCUCCUAGCUGGUAACCCUGGUUUUGUGCAACUCUUCUUCAUUCCAUCCUCUGUAGUUUAGCUAGAGAAAUAUUUCUAAAAUGCAUAUAUAGAAAAUAAUUCCACUUGCUGUAUGCAAUUUUUUGUCGUCCAUCCGCUAACUAGAGGACAAAGUCUGAGUUUGUUUGCAAGCACAAAGCUUUCCAUCAGCUGAACCCAGCUUGUCUACCACCAUUUUCCUGGUCUCCAGCCAGGACUGGUGACAGUUCCCUCAACAGGUCCUGCUGGAAGAUUCCAGUCAAGACAGAGUGCUAAAAUUGGUGUAGCCACUAUGGAAAAC
Equus caballus (horse) is the source of this 1913-nucleotide long non-coding RNA. NCBI's taxonomy places the organism in Eukaryota, Metazoa, Chordata, Mammalia, Perissodactyla, Equidae. The record is from Ensembl.